RNAcentral lists this long non-coding RNA (1259 nucleotides) under Monodelphis domestica (gray short-tailed opossum). RNAcentral describes it as "lncRNA (ENSMODG00000032953.2)". The record is from RNAcentral. Lineage: Eukaryota; Metazoa; Chordata; Mammalia; Didelphimorphia; Didelphidae.
AUUCUAGUAGCCAGGAAUGUAUACACCCCCACUUGAGGAUUAAGUAUGGGGGAGGAAGGUCUAUGACCAGCGUGUGCUAGCAAGUGACAAGUCAGAAAAAGUUGACUGACCCCCUGGGCAGUCCAAAGCCAAGUUUAAGCCACCAUUGAUACAUGUAAGACACAGGAAGUGACAUAAAGAACUAUCUUUAUAUUUUACAUCACUUCCUAUGAGAGGGACUUGGCCGUGGAACUCAACUGUGGAGGAGCUCGAGUGUGAGACUGCAGACUGCUUCCCUUAGACUGUCAUGUGUAGGAAACAGCUGGAUUAUCAUCUCUGCUUUGGCAUUCAAUCUGUUGAGCUAUGUUGCUUUGAUUAAAGUUUAUGAAGAAAAUCUGGCCUCAUACAGAGAUGAAGUUGGGAAAGAGAAGAGGAUUUUAAAAGACCAUUUCUUCCUCCAUAGUCCAUGAAGAAGGCUACUCAUUACCAUGUAAUUAAACAGUCUAGAACAAAUUACAGACCGUCUGUGUAAGUUCCAAAAUCCAUCUGGGGAUUGCACCAGUUGAGCACUAAACACAUGCUCAUAAGGAUAGAGAGCAUUAGCUAGUUCUCCAUUUCAAUAACAUUGUAGACUUUUCUAAAGAAUUGAAGUCAAGUUUCCUGGUUUCUCCUUUGAAAAUGCCAUUCUUGUCUCCUUUCCCUCUUUUUGUUUUAAUUGGGACAACAUGUGUUCCUCUUCCAGUCUUUCAAAUGUCAAUGAGUUAGUAAUUCUAUGAAUCAGUUCUUUGAGUGCCUGGUGAUGCAGUUAUUUGGACCAGGAACUGGUGAAUUCUAUUGAUACACACACCUCAUUUUUUAUGUCUUUUAUUCUGGUUGCAUCUGAUCCUUAUGGGCUUCAUUAAACAGCUGGUGUCCAAAUAGGUUUCAUUCAUUGUAAAGAUGCUACUCUAAAUGCAUGAGGAGACAAGCUUCACAUAAUGUACUCUCUACAUAUUUUUAAAAAUGCUGGUUAAUAAGAGAAAAAAAAAAGAAAAUGCCUAGAGUUGGGAAAUGGAAUUUCUAGUUCAUAGAACAAUUCAUAGAAUUCCAGGAAGGUAAGUGUUAUUGAAUUGCAGAAUAUAGGGGUGGUUAAGGUGUAAGAAGACUGGAAAAAUCAGGCAGAAGUCAGGUCAUGAAGAACUUUGAGUGUCAGAAUAUUUUAUCCUGAAUCCUGAAGGUGAUAGGGAGCCCCUGGGGUUUACUGAAUAGAGAGGAGAGACAAGGUUGGACACAGACUGUAG